Schistosoma curassoni is the source of this 47-nucleotide non-coding RNA. The record is from Rfam. NCBI's taxonomy places the organism in Eukaryota, Metazoa, Platyhelminthes, Trematoda, Strigeidida, Schistosomatidae.
GCAUUGCUGAGGAGUCCCUUUACUAGGACGAAACGGCCGUCCAGUGC